GCGCUCGUAGCUCAGUGGAUAGAGCAGAGGACUUCUAAUCCUAAGGUCGCAGGUUCGAAUCCUGCCGGGCGCACCC
RNAcentral lists this transfer RNA (76 nucleotides) under Actinomycetes bacterium. RNAcentral's name for it is "Actinobacteria bacterium tRNA-Arg". It matches the Rfam family "tRNA". From Rfam's summary of the family: Transfer RNA (tRNA) molecules are approximately 80 nucleotides in length. Lineage: Bacteria; Bacillati; Actinomycetota; Actinomycetes. The record is from RNAcentral.